Molecule: ribosomal RNA, 378 nt
Filed under: uncultured bacterium
Lineage: Bacteria
Description: bacterial SSU rRNA
Rfam family: Bacterial small subunit ribosomal RNA
Source: RNAcentral
AGGAAGGUAGUGUAGUUAACACCUGCAUUAUUUGACGUUACCUACAGAAGAAGCACCGGCUAACUCCGUGCCAGCAGCCGCGGUAAUACGGGAGGGUGCGAGCGUUAAGUACGGAAUUACGUGGGACGUAAAGCGCAUGCAGGCGGCCGUGUUAAGUCAGAUGUAGAAACGGCCCGGGGACCGUUAACCGUACGGUAAGUUGCUAUUUAGUAAACGUGGCGAGGCUAGAGUCUUGUAGAGGGGGGUAGGAAUUUCAGGUGUAGCGGUGAAAUGCGUAGAGAUCUGAAGGAAUACCAGUGGCGAAGGCGGCCCCCUGGACAAAGACUGACGCUCAGAUGCGAAAGCGUGGGGAGCAAACAGGAUUAGAUACCCUGGUAG